Molecule: long non-coding RNA, 1163 nt
Filed under: Cricetulus griseus (Chinese hamster)
Lineage: Eukaryota; Metazoa; Chordata; Mammalia; Rodentia; Cricetidae
Description: lncRNA (ENSCGRG00015023032.2)
Source: RNAcentral
GGAGGCCAAGGAUUGCCAUGUACUGGCCAGUAGGGGGCGAAUCCUGCCUGUGCCUUCUCUUUUCACCUUGCCCCUGUGAUGGUGAGCUCCAUUGUAGAUGAGUCACCAAAACAUUUUGUAUUUUUCACAAUGCAGGUGACACAGGAACACAGACAUGGAUGGGCCUUACUGAAAUACGAGGCAGAGGAAACAAGGGCAGGGUGUGGUGCUGAGUUGUGGACCCAUUAGGGACCAGUUUCCUCUGGAUUCCAGCAGCGAGUCCACUGAAGUCUCCAGCCCUGGACGUCUGGCGCCUGAAGGGGCGGCUCUCAGCUUAGGGGAUUGGUGUUUCAGGUGGAGGGAAGUCCCAAACACAACCUUCACGUGGUCAUAAUGGGCUUCAAAUUUCAGCUUGGCAGCCUAGUACUGGGGCUUUUGGGAGUGGGGCCAAAGGGUAAGAAAACAUGGUCAAGAGAGAACUCCUCAUGAAAGCAUGGCCAGAGGUGGAGAGGGAGGGGCGGGCUUACCAGACAUGCCAUGGAAGAGGCAGGCCAGCUGCUGGCUCCGCCUCAUUUCCUCCAAGAAGACUGGUGGGCACUGAAGAAACUUCAUCUUGAGUCAAUGGCAACGAUGGCCACUGAACAACCCUGCCCUUCACCUCAACUGCUACAAAGUAUUCCAGACCAUGGACAAGAGGACAGUGGAAUCAACUUUCCCCAUGUUGGGUCAAUGGUCAAAGAGGUACCAAGUUCCAUACAGCCUGGACUUCGAUGGAGCAACCAGAUACCCCAGGACUUGGCAGCAUCCCAGCUUUCUCAGGUCCUCCAAAGAUGGUCAACACCCUCCAUGUUAGCAGGAAGCAGUCUUGAGACUUCGACGCCCUUAUUCCUUAAUCUGCCAUGUCUAACACCCCACCUUUUUAAUAAUAAGUAAAGGUGGGAUUGAAAGGUUCAGGCAUUAUGCUGGCCUGCCCCUGUCACCUGGCAGAAUCCACUCAGGCAGCACCCUGGUCAUCCCAGGGUUCCAUGGGAACUAAGUCUGCACACAGGUAUAGAGGACCCCUUUAAAAGAUAGACCCCUGCCCACUUACACUCUCUUCUCUCUCUGCCUCUCUCUCUGCUUCUUCUCCUCUCUUCUAUUUCUCUCUCACUCACUCUCCAUGAAAUAAUAAACUGGUUAAUGUA